UGCAUUGUUUCACACGUACUCAGGUCACUUUCAGCAAACAUAAGAUGACAUCCCAGAAAGAUCUAAAAACCUAACAGGAAGACAGAAAAGUACAGUGGUGCUAAUUCGGAUUAACUAUCCUAAUUGAGCUAGCAGUCCUAAUAUAGAAGAUGUGACAAAACUUUGAUAUUAUCUGUGAACAUCUUCAAGUUUUACUCUAUACAUUUUGAGACAGAGGCACUACAACUGUAGGGGCAAGCACAGCCUCACCUGCCUUAAAUGAAGAUUUUGAAUGUGUCAAACAAAAGGAAGCCAAGAGACUGCUAACCCACAGAGGUAAUAUGAGCAAGAGAAGUGACUUUUCUGCCUUCCCUAGCAGCUGGCACUUGACAUCCUUGGCAUCAUCUAGUUCAUAA
RNAcentral lists this long non-coding RNA (395 nucleotides) under Anas platyrhynchos platyrhynchos (common mallard). RNAcentral describes it as "lncRNA (ENSAPLG00000025938.1)". The record is from RNAcentral. Lineage: Eukaryota; Metazoa; Chordata; Aves; Anseriformes; Anatidae.